UACGGAGGAUGCAAGCGUUAUCCGGAAUGAUUGGGCGUAAAGCGUCCGCAGGUGGCUGUGUAAGUCUGCUGUCAAAGAGCGAAGCUCAACUUCGUAAAGGCAGUGGAAACUACACGGCUAGAGUGCGUUCGGGGCAGAGGGAAUUCCUGGUGUAGCGGUGAAAUGCGCAGAUAUCAGGAGGAACACCGGUGGCGAAGGCGGGUCUCUGGGCCGAUACUGACGCUGGAGGAGCGAAAGCGUGGGGGAGCGAACAGG
This 255-nucleotide ribosomal RNA is filed under the name uncultured bacterium. RNAcentral's name for it is "partial 16S ribosomal RNA". It matches the Rfam family "Bacterial small subunit ribosomal RNA", at positions 524 to 776 of the family's 1533-position model. The record is from RNAcentral.